RNAcentral lists this ribosomal RNA (1044 nucleotides) under Salmonella enterica subsp. enterica serovar Saintpaul. RNAcentral describes it as "partial 23S ribosomal RNA". It matches the Rfam family "Bacterial large subunit ribosomal RNA", at positions 711 to 1671 of the family's 2925-position model. Lineage: Bacteria; Pseudomonadati; Pseudomonadota; Gammaproteobacteria; Enterobacterales; Enterobacteriaceae. The record is from RNAcentral.
AGACCCGAAACCCGGUGAUCUAGCCAUGGGCAGGUUGAAGGUUGGGUAACACUAACUGGAGGACCGAACCGACUAAUGUUGAAAAAUUAGCGGAUGACCUGUGGCUGGGGGUGAAAGGCCAAUCAAACCGGGAGAUAGCUGGUUCUCCCCGAAAGCUAUUUAGGUAGCGCCUCGUGAAUUCAUCUCCGGGGGUAGAGCACUGUUUCGGCUAGGGGGCCAUCCCGGCUUACCAACCCGAUGCAAACUGCGAAUACCGGAGAAUGUUAUCACGGGAGACACACGGCGGGUGCUAACGUCCGUCGUGAAGAGGGAAACAACCCAGACCGCCAGCUAAGGUCCCAAAGUCAUGGUUAAGUGGGAAACGAUGUGGGAAGGCCCAGACAGCCAGGAUGUUGGCUUAGAAGCAGCCAUCAUUUAAAGAAAGCGUAAUAGCUCACUGGUCGAGUCGGCCUGCGCGGAAGAUGUAACGGGGCUAAACCAUGCACCGAAGCUGCGGCAGCGAACGUAUCACUUAAAGCGAUUCAGCGGGUUACGAUUGACGGAGCGAAGCGACGUCAAAGCGUAUACAAAGUCGAGUCGGUUUAAGGAUACGUUCGUUGGGUAGGGGAGCGUUCUGUAAGCCCGUGAAGGUGGCCUGUGAGGGUUGCUGGAGGUAUCAGAAGUGCGAAUGCUGACAUAAGUAACGAUAAAGCGGGUGAAAAGCCCGCUCGCCGGAAGACCAAGGGUUCCUGUCCAACGUUAAUCGGGGCAGGGUGAGUCGACCCCUAAGGCGAGGCCGAAAGGCGUAGUCGAUGGGAAACGGGUUAAUAUUCCCGUACUUGGUGUUACUGCGAAGGGGGGACGGAGAAGGCUAUGUUGGCCGGGCGACGGUUGUCCCGGUUUAAGCGUGUAGGUGUGUGUUCCAGGUAAAUCCGGUUCACUUUAACACUGAGGCGUGACGACGAGGCACUACGGUGCUGAAGCAACAAAUGCCCUGCUUCCAGGAAAAGCCUCUAAGCAUCAGGUAACAUCAAAUCGUACCCCAAACCGACACAGGUGGUCAGG